GAUGAACGCUGGCGGCGUGCUUAACGCAUGCAAGUCGAGCGAGUGAGUUCUUCGGAACGAUCUAGCGGCGGACGGGUGAGUAACACGUGGGCAACCUGCCUCAUAGAGGGGAAUAGCCUCCCGAAAGGGAGAUUAAUACCGCAUAAAAUUAUCGAGUGGCAUCACACGAUAAUCAAAGGAGUAAUCCGCUAUGAGAUGGGCCCGCGGCGCAUUAGCAAGUUGGUGAGGUAACGUCUCACCAAAGCGACGAUGCGUAGUCGACCUGAGAGGGUGAUCGGCCACAUUGGGACUGAGACACGGCCCAGACUCCUACGGGAGGCAGCAGUGGGGAAUAUUGCACAAUGGGGGAAACCCUGAUGCAGCAACGCCGCGUGAGUGAUGAAGGUCUUCGGAUUGUAAAGCUCUGUCUUUGGGGACGAUAAUGACGGUACCCAAGGAGGAAGCCACGGCUAACUACGUGCCAGCCGCCGCAGUAA
RNAcentral lists this ribosomal RNA (476 nucleotides) under uncultured bacterium. RNAcentral's name for it is "partial 16S ribosomal RNA". It matches the Rfam family "Bacterial small subunit ribosomal RNA", at positions 28 to 523 of the family's 1533-position model. The record is from RNAcentral.